Octopus sinensis (East Asian common octopus) is the source of this 531-nucleotide long non-coding RNA. RefSeq lists it as uncharacterized. Lineage: Eukaryota; Metazoa; Mollusca; Cephalopoda; Octopoda; Octopodidae. The record is from RefSeq and is a predicted model, not a curated record. The transcript is spliced from 3 exons.
UUGGAUUCAAAGUUUUAUGACGCUCAAAUGGCCUUGGCGAAUGCAUUUGGGAGUAUAAAACUGACUGAUAGAGCAUUAUCAAUAUACAGCCAAAUGAUGGGCUAUUUCCCGACAAAUGUAGAAAUAUUGGUGAGCAUUGGCUCAAUUUAUAUGGAGAAAGGGUAUGUCUGUGUAGAUAUUCCAGACUGUAUGACAUGGCAGUCGACUGCUACAAAAAGGCUGUCGAUUUGAACCAAUCCAGUGCCGAAUAUCACGGCUAUUUGGGCAAUGCUCUCAAGGAAAAGGGCAAACUUGAUGAAGCGGAAGCUGCCUAUCAACAAUCAUUGCUCAUAAACCCUAAUUAUGUGAUUCUCUCAACAAUCUUGGAAAUAUAAAAAGAGAAAAAGGUCAAAUCGAUUCUGCAGUGGCACUAUACAAACAUGCUUUGAAGAUCAAUCCGUUAAUGGCCAUCGCACAUUCUAAUUUGGGGGGAAUCUACCACCACAUCUGCCGAUAUAACGAAUCACUGGCCCAUUAUAGUGAAGCACUCCG